This is a long non-coding RNA of Strigops habroptila (Kakapo), 7945 nucleotides long. RefSeq lists it as uncharacterized. The transcript is spliced from 5 exons. Lineage: Eukaryota; Metazoa; Chordata; Aves; Psittaciformes; Psittacidae. The record is from RefSeq and is a predicted model, not a curated record.
ACGAGUUUCUUACCCAGUUGUACAGAUCCAUGUGGAUCAAGACUUUGUGAGCUAAUGGUGCAAACACGCACUAUUUCUUUCAUAAAGGAGAAGGUGAAUGUUAUGGAUCGGAUACUGCAAUCAAGCAUUCUUGUAAAUAUGGGAAGGAAGUUAAUUCAUUUCCAAAGUGAAAGAACAAUGGAUUUUCUUCAAAGAUGCAGUUUAUAAGGUCUUAGUCUCCUGACAAUCACGAAGAUGAGAUGUAGCCCUAAGUGCAAUCUUGCCGGAAUUCAUGACAUGAGUCUGCUGCUUCAAAGGAGGAGAUUCAUUUAAAGUGAGAUACUAUUAAGGAAUUCAGAUUUACUUCCUCCUUUGUAACAAAACAAACAGACACAAAAGCCCUUCCUAAACUAGGUCAACAUCUAAUGUCAUCAUCUUUUUGCAAGACAGAGAAGCAAACAGAGGUUCAACACUGAUUAGUUAUGAUGCGCCAUCUGUAAAACGGCACUUGAAGAAAAACACCAAUCAGCUGUAAGAGUACUACCAAGGCUGCGAAAUUUUACGUACAAGAUCGAUCUCAUUUCCAUCGUGGUUUUCUUCUCAGUCUGUUUUGUUCUCUUUGUACAUUUAUCCUAGCCAUUUUCUGGUGAUUUUGCUUUUGCAAAUUUGUGUCUCCUGGCUUUAAUAAUAUUUCUUUUUCUCCCCAGAGAUAUGUGAUAGUAGAUCUUUGAACAGUUUACUCUUCCAUUACCCAGGCUGUUACUGCAGGUGACACCACAGAGAGCAUCAUAGGAUAUCCUCCCAAACAUGAUCCACAGAUUCUAAAAGAUGGUGCAGGUUCCCUUUAUUAUCAAGUAUAUAGGCAGGUUAGUCUACGUUGAAAACAAAUUACAUUAUAUAAACAAAACUGUGUAGAGUGGUGGUUCACAGUCAGUGGUCUUCAGGUGUUUAGUCAUUAAUGAAGAAAAUGCUCUGAAACAAUCUCAUAUAUUCAGAACAUCUUCAGUCACCAACUUGACCAUGUGGCUUGUAGUGGGCCACAAGAAAUAUAAAGUUUGGAUAGUUGCUCCAAAAUGCUCACUCAUUUCUGCUGUGUAGAAUGUCUACCAUUCUCAAAGUAAAAGAGGCAUUUGUAAAAUUUUACACUCUGUAUUCAACUUUUUCCCUAAUGAAUUAGCAUUUGAGUCUUAAACUGAAGCAAUGUUAAUUCAGUAAUUAAAUUGGAUGAAUUAAUUCAACUUAACAGUGUUUUAUGCAAAAACUAUUAAUGUCAGGACUGUUUUGAAGCUAAGACAAGAAACUUUUAGAAACAAGACACAGAUCUUCACAAAAAUUUUACUUGGGGUGAGAAAAGAAACUUUGAGUAACAGUUAUAUCUUCCAGAUUCAUUAAGUCAUCUGUCACUUCCACUAUACAUUUGAGAAUUGUUUCUCCCUAGCUUUAUGAUGCUAAAGAAAUGCUGCAUGAAUAAAAUUAUAUGAAAGUUAAGUCAGGUUGCAACUGCUUCACAUUUCUGACAAUACCCUCCUGAAUUCAACAGCUAACCUCUCUCUGUUUUCCUCAGUGCACGCUAUUUGCAGAUAAAUAUGUCUGUCCAUUUAGAAACUGCUUCAUAGAGCAGUUCUGUGACUUCAUAGCAAAUAUUCCCUCUGUUUGCAUGAUGAAGCCAAUACAUAUUUUGCCAGCUGUUUCCCAGUUGGCAGAGGGGUAAGAAGAUAAUAUUGAGCAUGGCGACCAAAUGAGCAGAUAAAAAUAAACGGACUAUUGUCAUACACGAUAUGCUAGUGAAAAGUAUGUUAUUAAACUUUCAUAUCACAAUAUAUACCUCAAACAAUGAGUUAAGCAAGACAAUCAGAAACCUCACAGUGUCAUAGGCAACAAGUAAGAAAUAUGCUGGGAGACCACAAAAAGGGCAGUGAAAUCAAGGUUCUCUUUAUGCCAGUCCAACAAAGCAUUCAGGCACUAAAAUUCCUAUUAUAUUAAUAAGUUAAGGAGUCUUUUGAAAAGAGUUUGGUUCUUACACAUUUUAUUGGAUCUGCACAAUGAAAAGAACAGUAGUUCUUCAGUGGCAGUUAGAAGACCAAUUUUUCAUUACAAAUAACAUAUAAAGAGAACAAUUUUUUUCUUGCCAAAAGAAAAUGGUUUGCAAUACAUAUCUUACUGUAUUUAGCUCCUUAGAGAAGGGAGGAGACAUUUAAGGCAUGUACAGCAAGUAUCUCCUAUUAGCUCUAUUGGCAUGCUUUUUCCUAACUUUGAUUUGUAUUAUUUUUUUCUCUCAGAAAAAGUUGAAAGCACAGGCCUACAAAACUCAAAACCACUCUGUGUCAUCCAUAUUUUUCAGAGACUAUUUUCCCCCUAUUCAUUAAUGGAAAAUACUUUCCUUAUGCUGUAUACGUUUCUCUGGCUGAUUAAGAUGAGCAGAAUGCCUUUCUACAAGGCUCCUUAUCAAGGAGAGACCCAGCCCUUCAAACAGUUUACCUAUUGAAUGCAGUUUACCUAUUGAAUGAUUCAAGUUACCUGCACUGUAACAUGAUAAUGUAUUCUUUAACUUGUCACCAGAUAAUGAGUAAAAGUUGGCCAUUUAUCAGUCUAAAUAUCAAUUAAAUGACUAGUUUUGUUCCCACAAAAUCACAUUCUUUAUCAGGCUUGUACAAUGUUUUCGUAGGAGUGAGUUUAGCCUGAGAUAAGGUGCCUCAGGAAUGACCGAGACAUAAACACAUUAUUCCUUCAUUUUUCUAAGCUGAGCUAUUCUAUUUGAAAGCAUCUUCUGACAUGGACAGUGAGUUCAAACUGUGGACUCCUUAGCACCUGGUGUUUGCUAGCGUGAAAUUUGCUGGAGGAAUAAUUAAUCAUUCCUUCUUGCCAUCCUACUGAGAAGAGAUAAAAGUCUACAUGUAUUCUAACAUCUUGUUUCUUUCCAUGCAGUUACUGUAAUAAAGCAGCACAAUAACCAUGUAAGAGUGAUGGCAAUAUGUUUGAGAAAACAUUUAAUGGAGUAAUUUGCAGACUGUGUGACUUCAUACAGUUUGAAUGUGUGCUUGUAUGUAUAUAAGUUGUUCACAAAAUCAAGACAUUCUGUAAGCUCAGUGGUAGUUCUUGUCUGCUAGAACCUCACACUUGAAUCUUACACUGCCUGUAAGAUCAUACAAGACUCUUUGGAGCAGAAGCCAGUGGAAAUGCCAGAUGUUCUCAGCAGUGUGCUUCAAUGGUUCAAAAGAUAUGGUUUAUCACAGGGCUUCUAGGUUGUUCGAAGUAGAAAGCAUGGAAAUGACAUCUUCCUUUUGUAUAGGAAAAUAAAUCUUUCCAACCAUGACCUAUGAUACUUUGAGGAAUGCGUGUUUAAUACUUUUUCAACUUCCCCAAAUAAUUUGUAUUGGUCUGACUUUUAUUAUAGAAUUUAAAUCAUACAUGCAAUCAAAAAAGAAACUGAAUGAAACUUACAUAGGAUAAAACAAUUUAUGGCUAUAUAUAAUACAGGUCUAACUGUGUAAUAUUCAAGAAAGUACAGCUCCUGCCAAUUCACCUAGAUAUCUUGUAAUCUUUUAAACUUCCAGUUUGAUGUAUAUAACCAUUUUGAUGGACAAUGUUUACAGUAUAGAAUCUAUAAAUACAACUACUGUGUGUACUCAGAGUAGGCAUUUCCAACUUCAAAAUAUUAGUAAGAUACACAGUUGCUAAAUAUGAUGCCCUAUCACAUUCAAUAACUUAAAAAGAUUGCAAUGUUACCAUAUCCAUUUCCAUAUCAAUUAACAACACAGAACCUUGGCCCUAUACUUUAGAUAGCCGAAAUUAGAAAUUGCUAAUAUAGGUAACAGAGUAUAAUUGGAGCAUUCCUUGGUGUGAAAUGGUGUUGUCUUCUUUUUUAGUCUCUUGUACCUGUAAAUCAUUCCAGAUAACACAUCUUAAAACUGAAGUGACAGGACUGACGAACGAAUUCACACAGACUUAGUGUAACUCUUCACACUAUAUUCCAUUGAGUGUUGCAAUAUAUGUCAAUUAAUAUUUCCUCUUUACCUUACAAUAGUUUGAACAUGUUUUGUUCCUUCCAAAUUAUUUUGAGAAUUCUGUCAUUUAAUAGAAAUAAAAGUCUAAGAAUAUCAAUUGUAUUUUACAUAUUUAGCAGGUAACAACUCAUCCAGGUGUCAAUUCUGAUAUUUUCCAAAAUGGUGUUUUUAAAAUAAGUAUGAUUAAAAGGUCAAGUUGGUUCAUAUUUUUUCAAGAAGACUAUUGUAGCACUUAAAGGAACUAGUUUUUCUUUUAUCUUAGUGUAUAUAUAUAUUUUAUAUAGAUAUAUUUUUUUUACUUCAAAUGGGUAUUCACUAACUGCUGUAAAAGCAUUGGUUCAUGUUUUUCACGUUUUGCUAAUUUGAACACUCCAUAACUGGCACAUAAAAAUUCUUAGCAAAGGCUUAAUAGAACAAACUUACAAUGAGGUUUUUCCUUAAAAGAUAAGCUACAAGUUUAGCUAGUAUAAAUAAAAAGCAGUAUUCUAAAAGUGUAAUUUAUGUUAUUAAAGAAGUUACUCACAAAAAACGAAAUGACAUUUUACAAUGCAUUAUAAUUGUUUAUUUAAUUAUUAAUUUGCAAGAUCUGUAAUUUUUUUUUUCCAGAAGAAAUGCAGCCUAAAAGAUUGAGCCAGUGGAAGACAGGCAGAACAUUUAAAUUCUAUAUAAGACCUUAAAAUAGCUCUGAAAUAGAACACUUUCUUUAUUCUCUUCAGGAGUUAUCAGAACUAGUAACAGUCUACUUCAUUAGAUAUACAUAUCAGUUAGUAACAUUUUAUGCCAUAGAGUUGCCUGUUUCUAAGAUCGUGUCAGGGGUUGUUCUCUGUGAAAACUGGUUUUGCUAGGCAAGAUCAUAACAUGUUAUACUUAAUUAUUAUAAAUAAUUUCUAAGGAGAGAUAGCUGAAUGAUGAAAAAUUUGAAAAGUGGAUGAAUCAUGACAGCUACAGCAAUAUUUAACUGAGGAUAUAUAGAUUUUUUUCAGCCUGUAGUAAUAAAAAGCAAAUAUUAGGAGCAAAGGUGUGCAGUAAGCACCCUCUUCAAAAGAAAUGAGAAGAACUGUAACUCAGAAUCUUGGCAGAAUCAAUAAACCAUAACAUCCAGCAUACAGUGGGGGCAUAGAGUCUGCAGGUUAAGUCUCACCAUCUUUGUCCAUACCAACACAGUACCCUUUGAGAUGCCUAGGAGUUGCGUGCAUUUUAUGGGUAAACCGCAUUGAUCUAAUAUAGGAUAACAUACAGGAAACUGAGUGCAUUAAUGAUAAAAUUUAAUAAAUGAACAUCAUAAUAGGGCACUGACAAGAUCUGCACAUUCGUUUAUAUGAAAAUAUUUUUAACAUGUUAUGCAUAAGCAAAGUAUCUGUUAUUUCAUGAUGUCUACAUUUUUCAAUAUUUAAAGCAUUAAAUAUUUUAAAAUAAGGACAAACACUUUUAACCUUUUUUUUUGGUAGUGACUGAUUGACUUUAUAAAUCCUGUCGCAAAAUGACAUCUAUUUUUCUACUUAUAAACUUGCUUAUAUGUUUACAAAAAAAUAACAUUUCUUUGCACAAAAAUAUUAAUUAUAUUGACUUACCAUUUUUGCAGCUGACACCUACUUGCACUACAGCUUUGAUUUUUCAGGCUCUCACAGUUCUAAUGAUAACCAGAGGGACUAAUUUGAGUAACACUUUUAAAUCAGAAGAAACAUAAGUAAGCAAUUAAUAGAGAUAUUCUCUUCCUAUAAUACAAAGCAAUAAUAUAGUAUUAGCUGUUCUAAAACUCCUCAGCGUGUAUAGAUAACAAACGUUAUGGUAUUUAGAUAGGUUUAGCAAGUAUUUUAAAAUGUAUUUGUCUGCAACUGUGGCACAAAUAGUAAUGGUUUGGUUAAACAUUAAGAUAGUUAAAUAAUGUAUAUGAUAAUACUGAAUAUACAUGUAAUGUUAAAUGUUAAGUUACAGUAAUUUCAAACAUUAGCACAUGCUGUAUAAACCAAAAUUUCAUACUCAUCUCAUCUCAAUCCUUCAUAUAUUACACUAAUAUCACUAUAUGUGUCAUUUUUUUAACCCAAACUCAAAAGAAUAAGGAAAUUAAAAGCUAAAUACUUCGCACUGUGCUUUUUCCUUCAUCAACAAGUACACUCAUUCUGAACGUAAUAUUAUUUCCUCUCUUCUCAGGAGCAGAUGACUGUUAACAUGGUAGGUACUGGUGCACAGAAGGAUUGCUGAAGGGUCAGUGGAAAGCUGAAAUCCCUUAAGCAACAGAAUUAAGGGUGCAGAAAGUUCUGUAAUACCUUUAAUUUUGAUGACAGAUGACUUCUUAUCCUAUCAAAGCCAUACAACACUGACAAUAUCUUCUAAUAUCUAUUUCCAAUAUCCAAUUAACCACAGAACUCUUGGUAAGACAGAACAUUAUAUUUACAAUGAUAGCUCUUUAAUUCCUUCUUAGAACAGCUCAAUAUUUGGUCUUAAGAGUGUGCCAAUCAAAUAUAGAAAAGGCUGCCUUCAAGACAGCUGGGUACCAUUUCUAAAGAGACUAAAAGAAAACACUGUAAGUACUGCUAUCAAAAUAGAUGAGUAUGCUCUACAGUCUAUGAGAAAAAAAUAUAAAGGAAUAAUCUUUGCUACAGCUCUUGGCUGAGACUGGAAGAAGAAUGACUUGGUGUUGCUAUGUUUGGGUCCAUGAAAUUUAGUGUUUGGCAGGAAAGGAGAGAUCACUUUUUCUCAGAAUUACAGAGCUUUGACCAUGGCUUCUCCAGUUUGCAAAAGAAGGUCUGGCUGCUCCUCAGCAGCACCUCAGAGAGACUCCUUUCUGUAACUAAACUGCAUUUUCAUUAAUUUCUACAAUGCAUCCAUUGUGUUUUCCCAAACCUUCCUGUUUGGGGUAGGAAGGCACAAAGGAGGUAAAGACUUCUUAAUUGCAUUCAGUGUACUAAUAAAUUGAGAUGUAUAGUAGAAAAAUCCCCAAGUUCUUGUCAAGAACACAGAAUACAUCCUGUUAUUAAUCUGAACGUAUGCCAACAUUCCUGAGAUGACAUUAGAGACAUAUAAGGUGUAAGGGAGAUGAUUGUGCGUGAUUGAUACUGAUGUGCUGGAGCAAAAUCCUGUAUGAAUACUUAAGAACUCUCACAUCUAUCUUGUUUGUAUAAAAUGAAGAGAUGUCUUGUUAAUUAGCGUUACCUUCCUUUUAAGUAUUUGAAAUGGGAGCAUACCAUCCUUAAUUAUUACAAAUGAAGUUUCUGUUCAUUAAGCAUAAAUUAAUAUUUUCCUUUUCUUUUCACUCAUUACUUCCUCACAAAUAUUUUCCACCUUGAAAUUUUGUUCAAGUUAUACACUUUAAAAUUACAAGCAAUUUUUUGUGUAUUUAAUGUUCCAUAUUAAACAAGUGGAAUUUAAAUUCUCGUUUCCUUGAUGUUCUGUUUUAUGUUAAACAAAUUGAGGAUUAUGCAUUGAUGGUAUAAAUAUACAUAUAAUCACUUCUUUAAUUAUGCAUAUGAUUGCUACCUAACUUCGUAAUACUUUCCUACAUUUACUGCAGACCUAAAAUAUUUUAAUUUUCAAACUAUUUUUCACAAUAUUAAUUCUCUUUCAUUUCAAGGCUUUCUAUUAAGUAUAUUGAAGAAAAGAUCCAUAGUGGACUUCACAUUUACUUAUCUGCAUAUUUAUUGGUUUUCCUUCUGUUUUCUUUAAUGUUCUUUUAAUAAUAAUUUUUAAGCUCUUUGAAAGAUGGAAAUGUAAUCUAGAAAUAGUAGUUGGUAUGUCUUCUGUUCUGCAAAUACUAGAAGAGGGGACUCGUAGUCAUAAUGACUGUUUCUCUGUACCACAAUGGAAAGAUUUAAUACUUAAUUAAAAAAAAAAAAAACCCUUACAAAGACACCAUCAGCUUUUCAAACCUGAUAAAUGUGGCCAUCUAAGGGUGUUUGUUUCCUGUCCCCUUUGUCUGUCAUUUCUGAACUGAACUAAAUGGUUUUCAAUCUGUAAAACUCAAG